Molecule: ribosomal RNA, 230 nt
Filed under: uncultured bacterium
Lineage: Bacteria
Description: partial 16S ribosomal RNA
Rfam family: Bacterial small subunit ribosomal RNA
Source: RNAcentral
AGGGAGGCGUAGGCGGCUGAUUAAGUCAGCGGUGAAAGGUAGCAGCUUAACUGUUUUACAUGCCGUUGAUACUGGUUAGCUUGAGUUGACAGAAGGCAGAUAGAAUUCCUGGUGUAGCGGUGAAAUGCUUAGAUACCAGGAGGAAUACCGAUUGCGAAGGCAGUCUGCUGCAGUCACACUGACGCUGAGGCUCGAAGGUGCGGGGAUCAAACAGGAUUAGAUACCCUUGU